AUACGGAGGGUCCAAGCGUUAUCCGGAUUCAUUGGGUUUAAAGGGUCGGCAGGCGGGAAAAUAAGUCAGUGGUGAAAGCCUACAGCUCAACUGUAGAACUGCCAUUGAUACUGUUUUUCUUGAGUAUAGAUGAAGUGGGCGGAAUAUAUCAUGUAGCGGUGAAAUGCAUAGAUAUGAUAUAGAACACCGAUUGCGAAGGCAGCUCACUAAACUAUUACUGACGCUCAGGGACGAAAGCGUGGGGAGCGAACAGGAUUAGAAACCCCAGUAGUCC
RNAcentral lists this ribosomal RNA (274 nucleotides) under uncultured bacterium. RNAcentral describes it as "partial 16S ribosomal RNA". It matches the Rfam family "Bacterial small subunit ribosomal RNA", at positions 523 to 796 of the family's 1533-position model. The record is from RNAcentral.